Molecule: transfer RNA, 66 nt
Filed under: Damon diadema
Lineage: Eukaryota; Metazoa; Arthropoda; Arachnida; Amblypygi; Phrynichidae
Description: tRNA-Ile
Source: RNAcentral
AAUAAAGUGUCUGAAAAAAAGAGUUAUUUUGAUAGAAUAAAACAAGUGCUCAACACACCUUUAUUA